CCUACGGGGGGCAGCAGUAGGGAAUCUUCCACAAUGGGCGAAAGCCUGAUGGAGCAACGCCGCGUGGGUGAAGAAGGUCUUCGGAUCGUAAAACUCUGUUGUUAGAGAAGAAAGUGCGUGAGAGUAACUGUUCACGUUUCGACGGUAUCUAACCAGAAAGCCACGGCUAACUACGUGCCAGCAGCCGCGGUAAUACGUAGGUGGCAAGCGUUAUCCGGAUUUAUUGGGCGUAAAGGGAACGCAGGCGGUCUUUUAAGUCUGAUGUGAAAUCCUUCGGCUUAACCGGAGUAGUGCAUUGGAAACUGGGAGACUUGAGUGCAGAAGAGGAGAGUGGAACUCCAUGUGUAGCGGUGAAAUGCGUAGAUAUAUGGAAGAACACCAGUGGCGAAGGCGGCUCUCUGGUCUGUAACUGACGCUGAGGUUCGAAAGCGUGGGUAGCAAACAGGAUUAGAUACCCUUGUAGUC
RNAcentral lists this ribosomal RNA (465 nucleotides) under uncultured bacterium. Its description in RNAcentral is "partial 16S ribosomal RNA". It matches the Rfam family "Bacterial small subunit ribosomal RNA", at positions 338 to 795 of the family's 1533-position model. The record is from RNAcentral.